UGGGGAAUAUUGCGCAAUGGGCGAAAGCCUGACGCAGCGACGCCGCGUGAGGGAUGAAGGUCUUCGGAUCGUAAACCUCUGUCAGCAGGGAAGAAAGUUAUAUGUGCUAAUCAGCGUGUAAUUGACGGUACCUGCAAAGGAAGCACCGGCUAACUCCGUACCAGCAGCCGCGGUAAUACGGAGGGUGCGAGCGUUAAUCGGAAUUACUGGGCGUAAAGCGCUCGUAGGUAGUGUGACAAGUCAAGGGUGAAAUCCCCGUGCUCAACAUGGGAACUGCCUUUGAAACUGUUAUACUUGAGUGUGUGAGAGGAUAGUGGAAUUCCAGGUGUAGGAGUGAAAUCCGUAGAUAUCUGGAGGAACAUCAGUGGCGAAGGCGACUAUCUGGCACAUAACUGACACUGAGGAGCGAAGUGUGGGUAGCAAACAGGAUUAGAUACC
This 438-nucleotide ribosomal RNA is filed under the name uncultured bacterium. RNAcentral's name for it is "bacterial SSU rRNA". It matches the Rfam family "Bacterial small subunit ribosomal RNA", at positions 355 to 786 of the family's 1533-position model. The record is from RNAcentral.